CAUCCCUUCCGGUAAUCCCGCCGCAGCUGCUGCCGCCGCUAAUAACAACUCGGCCGUCCCAGCUGUGCCUGCUAUGGACCCAUCGGCACCUGGGGCCAACCAGGCAGGNAACCUUCCUGGGCGGCGGAGCUUCCGGCAGACCGUCUGUCGGCAUUGGCUCCGCAGCCUUUGCAUGAAGGGCGACGCCUGCGGCUUUCUACACCAAUACGACAAGUCGCGAAUGCCUGUUUGCCGCUUUUUUAGGCUUUACGGAGAGUGCCGGGAGCAGGACUGCGUGUACAAGCACACCAAUGAGGAUAUCAAGGAGUGCAAUAUGUACAAGUUAGGGUUUUGUCCAAAUGGUCCUGAC
Molecule: unclassified non-coding RNA, 349 nt
Filed under: Hevea brasiliensis (rubber tree)
Lineage: Eukaryota; Viridiplantae; Streptophyta; Magnoliopsida; Malpighiales; Euphorbiaceae
Source: RNAcentral